AUCUGUAGAAGCAAGAUUCAAAACACGAUGCCUCUAACAUUUUUGUCUUGAACUGCAUUUGCUUCUGGUUUCACCGGACCUCGAAUGGGAGGACAGACUGGAGGAAGGCCGGUUUACCAAAUCGCCCAAGAGCAGUUGCAGAUGUUGUUGUCCUUUAACUUCUCUGCUAAACAGAUUGCGGAGAUCUUGGGUGUCUCAAGAAGAACAGUGAACCUACGGUUAAGACAGUACAAAUGUAUCUUUUAGAGGUUGCUACACAGACCAGAAGAUGCACUUGAUCUGAAGGUGCUGCUAUUCGGAGUAUGUCCCACAGGCUUCGGAGGAGAACAUAUCGAGUGGCAGGGUCAAAUUCGCUGAUUCUUGAUGGCAACUACAAGCUCAUAAAGUGGAGGAUUGUAAUCCAUGGAGGAAUCGAUGGGUUCAGCCGACUGAUGGUUUUAGUGAAGGCUUCUAACAACAGUGGAAGUGACAUUGUAAUGGACCUGUUUUCGGAAGCAGUCGCCCAGUUUGGUGUCCCAUCCAGAGUAGGGAUGGGUAUCGUAAAUUUUUAUCGAUAUCGAUACCAUUUUCGAGACUGCUUAACGAUCCGAGUCUUUAUCGAUACUUUUCUAUUUCUUAAGUAAAACAGAUGUAAUAUAGAACAAGGGGAACGUGUUGCUCUCAGGAGGAAGCUGGCUAAAAGGAGCAUAUAUUGGCACAAUGGAUCCUGACCAUGGCUAAAUCUAAAUCUAUCCACUACAGAUGUACUAUCCACAACCUGGAUGAGUAACUAGACUGAUUGGUUGGUUGACGAAAAGUGACAUUGUCAAGCUCAUCGACUUUAUGAAAAGUUCAACACGUUUCAACAAAAGGCACCUGAUAUAGCUAAAUGACUAACUAACCAAACCCAAACCUUCCUUAUCUUAUCCCUAUUUUCUUCUGUCUGUUUUUGUUUAACACGAUGCUUAAGCAUCCCACAGAGCCAUGCUCGCGGUGACUAUGUUUUGGAUGAUCAGCAGCGAGGGGGGGAGGCUAGUCUUUACUCACACUGUGCUCGUAAAUAAUUCUUGCAGUUCGCGCACACAUAACAUUUUAGGGGCAUAUGCGAGUGAAAUAGUUGCACUGUUGAGCCCUGAAUUGGCUUAUUAUUGUCAACGAUGGAGACUUGCUAUGAAGUUGGGGUGCGCUCACCAGAUGAUUGUCCUGCAAAGGCAGCUGGAGUUGGCACUGUUGCGAUUCGAAGACAGUCGAAGUACUGCAUUUUAUCUUUAUCUGAUGCACAAUGUUGAGGUGCUUGUUCAUCGUAGUUGUGUUCCCCCCCUUACAAUAAAUUACUUUAGAACAUAUAUUGCACUUUGCUUUGUCGUCUUUAUCUUUGGCUUUAAUCAAAUGUGGCCAAGCCUUUGACCGUUUCGUGCGUUCUGCCAUCGUAGCUAGCAACAAAAUUAUAAAUGAAGCGAAGUAGCGCAUGAGGCAAUUAAAUUCUUCUUCGUUUAGUUUAAAGGCGGUUGGCAGGCCAUUCAAUUGAAUGUAGUCAUUGUAUUAGUCAAACGUUGUAUGUUUGUGCACUAGUGAUUUGAUUUAAAUAACAUUACUUAUUUCUCGAGACAUAAGUCAUCGUUACUUUAUAUUACUUAGUCUCGAUAGCGGUAUCGAUAAGCUUGGACCUUAUUGAUAUUCGGGUUUUGAGAAAUUUGGAACCGGGUCCUUACAGAACCGGUUCUCGAUACCCAUCCCUAAUCCAGAGUCAGAUGUGACUAUGGAGGGGAAAACAACGCCAUUUGUCUCUUCAUGGAUGUCUUCCGAGGAUCAACCCGAGGGAGCACUCAUAAUCAACGCAUUGAAAGACUGUGGGGCGAUGUCUGAAGAGGCGUGACGAAAA
This is a long non-coding RNA of Hypomesus transpacificus, 1861 nucleotides long. RefSeq lists it as uncharacterized. The transcript has 3 exons. NCBI's taxonomy places the organism in Eukaryota, Metazoa, Chordata, Actinopteri, Osmeriformes, Osmeridae. The record is from RefSeq and is a predicted model, not a curated record.